AAGGGAGCUUGCUCCCGGAUGUUAGCGGCGGACGGGUGAGUAACACGUGGGUAACCUGCCUGUAAGACUGGGAUAACUCCGGGAAACCGGAGCUAAUACCGGAUAGUUCCUUGAACCGCAUGGUUCAAGGAUGAAAGACGGUUUCGGCUGUCACUUACAGAUGGACCCGCGGCGCAUUAGCUAGUUGGUGGGGUAAUGGCUCACCAAGGCGACGAUGCGUAGCCGACCUGAGAGGGUGAUCGGCCACACUGGGACUGAGACACGGCCCAGACUCCUACGGGAGGCAGCAGUAGGGAAUCUUCCGCAAUGGACGAAAGUCUGACGGAGCAACGCCGCGUGAGUGAUGAAGGUUUUCGGAUCGUAAAGCUCUGUUGUUAGGGAAGAACAAGUGCGAGAGUAACUGCUCGCACCUUGACGGUACCUAACCAGAAAGCCACGGCUAACUACGUGCCAGCAGCCGCGGUAAUACGUAGGUGGCAAGCGUUGUCCGGAAUUAUUGGGCGUAAAGGGCUCGCAGGCGGUUUCUUAAGUCUGAUGUGAAAGCCCCCGGCUCAACCGGGGAGGGUCAUUGGAAACUGGGAAACUUGAGUGCAGAAGAGGAGAGUGGAAUUCCACGUGUAGCGGUGAAAUGCGUAGAGAUGUGGAGGAACACCAGUGGCGAAGGCGACUCUCUGGUCUGUAACUGACGCUGAGGAGCGAAAGCGUGGGGAGCGAACAGGAUUAGAUACCCUGGUAGUCCACGCCGUAAACGAUGAGUGCUAAGUGUUAGGGGGUUUCCGCCCCUUAGUGCUGCAGCUAACGCAUUAAGCACUCCGCCUGGGGAGUAC
This 827-nucleotide ribosomal RNA is filed under the name Bacillus safensis. RNAcentral describes it as "bacterial SSU rRNA". It matches the Rfam family "Bacterial small subunit ribosomal RNA", at positions 72 to 883 of the family's 1533-position model. Lineage: Bacteria; Bacillati; Bacillota; Bacilli; Caryophanales; Bacillaceae. The record is from RNAcentral.